Non-coding RNA from Coturnix japonica (Japanese quail), 1193 nucleotides. NCBI's taxonomy places the organism in Eukaryota, Metazoa, Chordata, Aves, Galliformes, Phasianidae. The record is from RefSeq and is a predicted model, not a curated record.
CUGUUUCACAAGAUGUAGGGAAUGAUUGCGUAAAGGUGUCUCCCAAUUUCUCUUCUCUAUGACAGCAUAUAAAAGUGCUCGUAACUCCGGUGUCUUUAGCUGCCUCUGCUGACUUAUUCCUCCUGGUGACUGGGUUGACUUGCCUACCGGAAAGAUGUCCUAUGGACAGAUGGUAAGCUUCCGCUGUGGUCAGCCGUGCGAAGCGAUAUGUCCACAACCGUAUGCCGACUCUCGGAACGAGCCAUGCAUUGCCACGUGUGGAGACUCAAGAGCAAUUGUGUACGCACCACCCGUUGUUGUGACUUUCCCAGGACCCAUUAUCAGCUCAUGUCCUCAGGAAAGCAUCGUGGGAACUGCCAUGCCUGAAAUUGAGGGUGGAGGCAUGGGCUCUGGAGGAGGAGGAAUGGGCUCUGGAGGAGGAGGAAUGGGCUCUGGAGGUGGAGGCAUGGGUUCUGGAGGUGGAGGAAUGGGCUCCGGAGGUGGAAGCAUGGGCUCUGGAGGAGGAGGCAUGGGGUCCGGAGGUGGAGGCAUGGGUUCAGGUGGCUCAUAUGGUGGAGGUGGAUCCUGUGGGAUGGGCUCCCAUAGCUCUGGGGGCUCUUAUGGUGGAAUGGGAGGUGGUUCAUACGGUGGGGAGGGAUCGUGUGGUGGUGGAUACUCUCGUUUGGGAGGCUAUUACCGAACCUCAUUUUAUUCAGGAUAUGGUAGAAAUUAUUUCCCAUUUUAUUCUAGGUACUAUAGGUACCGCUAUGGAAACUGUGGGCCAUUUUAAGUCUUUAAGACAGAGUAAUGACUGAAGAAAUGAUAAGAUACAAACCAAUGGUUGACUUGUAGGGCUGGAAAUCAGAUGUGUCAAGCAGCCUCUGCUCCAGCUGUGGAGUAGGAGCUGGGGUUGCUUGACAUCUCUUUGUGCUAUGUUUUGUCUAAGGCUUAAAAUCCCAAUGUUGUCAUUUGCUCACUUUGUCAUUUGCUCAUGUUAUGUUUUGAUCUUUCUGAACCUGAAGAGGGUAAAACAAUGGGACUUGACUGUGGAUGCUUCUGACUGCGAGAACACCUUGUGAACCCUGUGUUCCUCUGAACACCUGAUCGAUUGCAGUCCUUGUUGAAAUGGAAAUUACAUUCUUUUUCUCUGUGUUGCCUCAUUCUACAAGAAUGUAUUCCACAUCUUGUUUCUAUUAAAACCCUGUUGCAUCAUA